CUCGAGGUCGGUCGUCCUUGGGCUUGUGUUUAGCUUUUCUGUGACAACCGUCUUCUUCUUUGGAGCUACGUCAUGUGUGUUCUGUUGUGUCGUCUCCAUGAUGAGGUUUUCUGGCGGCACGUAGUCCUUCGCAUCGACUUCCGUCGUUUUAACAACUGGAGAAAAGGCCCGUGACGUAUGUGUCAGGAACCCGCAUGGCUGCAGUGGUUGUGACCCCGAGAUGCAGGAAACAGGAGAUCAAUGCGCAGGACGAAGCAUGAAAAAUUUAUCGGCCUCAUCUCCAUAUGCUGAUGCCUGUGAUUGAGUCGCCGACGCUUGUUUUGAGGGAAAAGAACGACGGCAUCGAUUUGGACCUCAGGGGCGCAUAGAGACAGCCGAGUGUGAGAGGAGACCCUCUGCCCCCCUUUCUGCCUCCGCCUUGCUCCUCAAGAUGCAAGCUGAGGAAAUCACCCGGGACCAAGCCCAACUGAUCAACGAUGUAUGGCAGGAGAGCCAGUGUGUUGAGCUGCUGGCUCCGCCCCCUCAUCAUGGUCCCAGGAUGAAUGGCAGGCUGCUGGGUACCCUAAGUGAUGAAAUGAUGACCCCAUUAAGAGAAGCGCUUCCAAAAAAUGAGGGGUAUCGGCCAAAGAUUGCGACUCCUCUCUCUCUCGGCGCCUUGCCGCCACCGUCCUGCUCUCGCUGCUGCACAAAUCAUGAUUGAUUCGCUUGAGAUGGAUCACAGGAAGCACCUAUUGAUUUUUUUCCCCUCGCUAAAAAAAAAUAAAAAUACUUAUUUACAGUUAUCCAGACUUACUCAAUAUCCACUUUUUCCAAACAAGUGAUGGGAUAAAAGAGUUAAUUCUCCUUGCUCCAUGACUUGACAAAUGACCUGUGAUAUUAUUUCAGUGAGGAGUCGAUAUGGCCGCCGGACUAAAUUAAUAUUGAUUGGUUAUAAUGAAGCCAGCGUGUGGAUAUGAGCUCUUUCAGGGGCCCCUGCCGCAGCCAGCCUCCAUGAUGACUGCGGCUCCCUUUAGAAAUGACAUAAAUUCCAGAAUUAACCUGUUGCCUUCAGAACGCCUUUAACAAUGCAGGCAGCUUUUCAAGUACUUUUAAAGUGGAAAAAUAACUUAAAGACUCUGUAACCGUACGUACGUACGUCAUCUAAAAUAACUGGAAUUUUGAUGACAAAAGAGAGGAAAAGAUGGUUCAAUUUCAUGCAUUGUUUUGUUUUAAGUGCAUCCUAACUAAAUUCAACCAGGUUAAAAUCAAAAAUAGAAAACAUUUGAACAUUAACAGGUGUCACUCAUUGACAUUAAAUGCAACUUAAUUUGUCAGUUAAUCAUUCAACCUUGAAAAAAAACGACUUUUGUUUACCAUUUAAAAGUCAUACAAGUGUAAAAAAAAUUGAAUUUGAAUGUUAUUAAUGGAAAACCCUUUGAGAUGCAUCAUCUCGUUUUCAAGGGGGACCAAAGACAUUUAAAAUGAACACGAUACAGUACAACACAGGACAAUUUACACAGCAAACAAUUACACACAAUUGUUAAAGGCCUACUGAAAUGAGAUUUUCUUAUUCAAACGGGGAUAGCAGAUCCAUUCUAUGUGUCAUACUUGAUCAUUUCGAGAUAUUGCCAUAUUUUUGCUGAAAGGAUUUAGUAGAGAACAUCCACGAUAAAGUUCGCAACUGGAGAAAUGCCCUCCCUCAACCGGAAGUCGCAGACGAUGAUGUCACAUGUUGAUGGCUCCUCAUAUAUUCACAUUGAUUUUAAUGGGAGCGUCCAACAAAAACAGCUAUCCGGACCGAGGAAACGACAAUUUCUCCAUUAAUUUGAGCGAGGAUGAAAAUUUGAGUUUGAGGAUAUUGAUAGCGACGGACUAAAAAAAAUAACAAAAAAAAAAACGCGAUUGCUAUCGCGUUGUAUUGAGAUGGAUUAAUAUGUUUUUAGAGACAUUUACUAGGAUAAUUCUGGGGAAUUCCUUAUCUUUCUAUUGUGUUGCUAGUGUUUUAGUGAGUUUAACAGUACCUGAUAGUCGGAAGUGUACGUCCAUGGCCGGGUGUUGACGCGCAGUGUCUCGGGGAAGUCGACGGCAGCUGUAUGGACGGCACAAGCCCAGCUGAUAUCCGGAAAGAAGCGACUUUUUAACCACAAUUUUCUCACCGAAACCUGCUGGUUGACAUGUAGUCGGGAUCCAUGUCCGCUGUGAUCCAUACUAAAGUUUCACCUUCGUGAAUCUUAAACAAGGAAUCACCAUGUGUUUGUGUGGCUAAAGACUAAAGCUUCCCAACUCCGUCUUUCUACUUUGACUUCUCCAAUAUUAAUUGAACAAAUUGCAAAAGAUUCAGCAGCACAGAUAUCCAAAAUACUGUGUAAUUAUGCCGUUAAAGCAGACGACUUUUAGCUGUGUGUGUGUGUGCAGCGCUCAUAUUCAUAACAGCCAGUGACGUCACGCGUACACGUCAUCAUUACGCGACGUUUUCAAGAAAAAAAGGCCGUAUUAGCAUGUGUUGCAUUGUUAAUUUUUCAUCAUUGAUAUAUAAACUAUCAGACUGCGUGGUGGGUAGUAGUGGGUUUCAGUAGGCCUUUAAUUUUGCUCAGAUAUCGCUUAGCUCACACAACUCUCACAAUUUAAAAUAUUCACAAUAGAAUAACAUAUUAUUGCAGUAAAAUAAAUAUAAUAUUAUUACAUUAAAUUCCAACCAUGUGCAUACAGUUUUAAGAUAAAAAAAAGAGACAUUUUGAAGGGACCAAUGGUUGAUGAAGACCUCAGAGAGACAGAAAAGAAGUUAACCUCUGUCAAAAUACCGUUAAAUGACAUCAAAUAAAUCUGCAUUCAUGUUACCCUCGGAGAAAGCAAAAAUGUACACUAAAAGUUCUUGUUUAACAUGUUGGGCUGUCAUACAAGUGUAAAAUAAAAAAGGUAAUUGCCGUAUAAUAAGAUGCAUUAAAAUAAUACAAUUGUUCACAACUUGGCAAAGGCAUUGUGUAUUGGCAAGUUUCCUUUUGCACUUUUUAAAAAAUGUGUCAUUCAAGUACAAAUAUAAGUUAAACAGUCUUUUUUACACAAAAAUAAUUGUGCAUGAGUGUAGUGUGCGGCAAAGGGGUUGCAA
Long non-coding RNA from Nerophis ophidion (straightnose pipefish), 3085 nucleotides. RefSeq lists it as uncharacterized. The transcript has 6 exons. NCBI's taxonomy places the organism in Eukaryota, Metazoa, Chordata, Actinopteri, Syngnathiformes, Syngnathidae. The record is from RefSeq and is a predicted model, not a curated record.